This 270-nucleotide ribosomal RNA is filed under the name uncultured bacterium. RNAcentral's name for it is "partial 16S ribosomal RNA". It matches the Rfam family "Bacterial small subunit ribosomal RNA", at positions 28 to 308 of the family's 1533-position model. The record is from RNAcentral.
AACGAACGCUGGCGGCAUGCCUAACACAUGCAAGUCGGACGCUUUUGGGGCUUCGGCCUCAAGGGAGUGGCGGACGGGUGAGUAGCGCGUGGGAACCUGCCUUGGAGUGGGGGAUAACCGAGGGAAACUUCGGCUAAUACCGCAUGCGCCCCGGCGCGAGCCGGGGGAAAGAUUGAUCGCUCCAAGAGGGGCCCGCGUCGGAUUAGGUAGUUGGUGGGGUAACGGCCUACCAAGCCUGUGAUCCGUAGCUGGUCUGAGAGGAUGAUCAGC